UUAAUGACUUGAUUGUUAAAAACUUCAGCCAAAUUAAAUGUAAAGGAGUUUAAUGGAGCAAUGAAUGAUUUGCGAGCGGGCCAGCCCCCCGAGCCAGAG
Long non-coding RNA from Nomascus leucogenys (northern white-cheeked gibbon), 99 nucleotides. RefSeq lists it as uncharacterized. The transcript is spliced from 3 exons. The record is from RefSeq and is a predicted model, not a curated record. Lineage: Eukaryota; Metazoa; Chordata; Mammalia; Primates; Hylobatidae.